UGCGGUAGGGGGUUGCGACAUGGAAUUUCUAUCUUGCCUUUUACCAGACAGAACCGGUUUUGGCCCUUUAUAUGCCGCAUGCUAUUUUUUUUGGACAUAUUUAUAUCUCA
Small nuclear RNA from Pneumocystis jirovecii, 110 nucleotides. It matches the Rfam family "U5 spliceosomal RNA". Rfam says of the family: U5 RNA is a component of both types of known spliceosome. NCBI's taxonomy places the organism in Eukaryota, Fungi, Ascomycota, Pneumocystomycetes, Pneumocystales, Pneumocystaceae. The record is from Rfam.